UCCCUGGUGGUUCAGUGGUUAGGACUCUGCACUCUUACUGUGGAGGUCCCAGGUUCAAUUCUUGGUUGGGGAA
Non-coding RNA from Bos taurus (domestic cattle), 73 nucleotides. The record is from Rfam. NCBI's taxonomy places the organism in Eukaryota, Metazoa, Chordata, Mammalia, Artiodactyla, Bovidae.